UGCAAGUGUAGGUUAGUACAUGCGGGGUUUUCCUCACUCUGUCCGCUGGGAAGGCCUGGGAGCAAUGACAGGCCAUUACCACUGAGCUCACUCAACACCCAGAUCUUAGUUUCUAAACAUCAUUCUCCAAUAAAAGGACACAAGGCUCCUUGGAAAAGUGGUUGAUUCCAGAAAUAGGGCAGGGAAAAAUGCAAGAAAAGCCUGAAACAUCUCUGGUGUGAGAAAACAAGAAAGGGCUCAACAAAGGUUGGGCGUGUCAAAAGGUCAUGGGAGUCAACCUGAAGGGCCAGGACCUUGAGCAAAAAAACAGUAAUACUUUAGGAUUAUAACUCAAAGAUAUGCA
Molecule: RNase P RNA, 343 nt
Filed under: Ursus thibetanus thibetanus
Lineage: Eukaryota; Metazoa; Chordata; Mammalia; Carnivora; Ursidae
Description: Nuclear RNase P (ENSUTTG00000006814.1)
Rfam family: Nuclear RNase P
About the family: Ribonuclease P (RNase P) is a ubiquitous endoribonuclease, found in archaea, bacteria and eukarya as well as chloroplasts and mitochondria. Its best characterised activity is the generation of mature 5'-ends of tRNAs by cleaving the 5'-leader elements of precursor-tRNAs.
Source: RNAcentral